This 115-nucleotide ribosomal RNA is filed under the name Acholeplasmataceae bacterium. The record is from RNAcentral. Lineage: Bacteria; Bacillati; Mycoplasmatota; Mollicutes; Acholeplasmatales; Acholeplasmataceae.
GGUGGUGAUGAUAGCGAAGUGGAAACACCUGUUCCCAUCUCGAACACAGAAGUUAAGCACUUCAGCGCCGAUGAUAGUAAGGCACCUGCCUUGCAAAAGUAGGUCGUUGCCACCU